AGUCGUAACAAGGUUUCCGUAGGUGAACCUGCGGAAGGAUCAUUAAAAUCCAAAACUCUUCUUGGGUGGGGUCAAACCUGCUCAUCAAGUUUCCACCUUUGUGAACCAAAAAUCAUACAGCUUCGGCAGCUGGCCGGUCGGGUAACUCCAAUCGGCCGUCAGCCUGCCGGCAGCGCCAACCAAACUUGUUUGUUAAACCAGUCUGACCUGAAUCAUUUUCGAGUGAGAAUUAAA
RNAcentral lists this unclassified non-coding RNA (234 nucleotides) under plant metagenome. Its description in RNAcentral is "partial contains small subunit ribosomal RNA and internal transcribed spacer 1". The stretch from base 1 to 45 matches the Rfam family "Eukaryotic small subunit ribosomal RNA", at positions 1787 to 1831 of the family's 1831-position model. The record is from RNAcentral.